This 466-nucleotide ribosomal RNA is filed under the name uncultured bacterium. RNAcentral's name for it is "partial 16S ribosomal RNA". It matches the Rfam family "Bacterial small subunit ribosomal RNA", at positions 28 to 507 of the family's 1533-position model. The record is from RNAcentral.
GAUGAACGCUGGCGGCGUGCUUAACACAUGCAAGUCGAACGAUGAAGCCCAGCUUGCUGGGUGGAUUAGUGGCGAACGGGUGAGUAACACGUGAGUAACCUGCCCUUGACUCUGGGAUAAGCCUGGGAAACUGGGUCUAAUACUGGAUAUGACUUCUCAUCGCAUGGUGGGGGGUGGAAAGAUUUAUUGGUCUUGGAUGGACUCGCGGCCUAUCAGCUUGUUGGUGAGGUAAUGGCUCACCAAGGCGACGACGGGUAGCCGGCCUGAGAGGGUGACCGGCCACACUGGGCCUGAGACACGGCCCAGACUCCUACGGGAGGCAGCAGUGGGGAAUAUUGCACAAUGGGCGCAAGCCUGAUGCAGCGACGCCGCGUGAGGGAUGACGGCCUUCGGGUUGUAAACCUCUUUCAGUAGGGAAGAAGCGAGAGUGACGGUACCUGCAGAAGAAGCGCCGGCUAACUACGUG